GUACACGCUGUGACUAGCAUAUCAAUAAGCGGAGGAAAAGCACUACCUACGCUUAGGAUGUUGACGAGACUGUCGAUCUCAUCUAUACAUGACUCUGUGCAUAUCAAUAAGCGGAGGAAAAGAAACUAACAAGGAUUCCCCUAGUAACGGCGAGUGAAGCGGGAAGAGCUCAAAUUUGAAAUCUUAAAGGGUUUCCCUUUACGAAUUGUAGUUUAAAGAAGUGUUUUCUGUUGAGGUUUUGGUAAAAGUUCUUUGGAAUAGGACAUCAUAGAGGGUGAGAAUCCCGUAUUUGACCUUUACUUUCAACUUUGUGAUACACUUUCAAAGAGUCGGAUUGUUUGGGAAUGCAGUCCAAAAUGGGUGGUAAAUUUCAUCCUAAAGCUAAAUAUUGGCGAGAGACCGAUAGCGAACAAGUACCGUGAGGGAAAGAUGAAAAGAACUUUGAAAAGAGAGUUAAACAGUACGUGAAAUUGUCAAAAGGGAAGCGUUUGACACCAGUGUUGUUUUUCUGAAAAUCAAUUAAAGAACUGUUUAUGCUAAGUUGUUUAGACUUUAUCAGCUAUCUGUUUAGUUUUGAGCUUUUCUUUAAUGCACUUUUCAGUUAACAAGUCAACAUCAAUUUCUUUUGCUGUAAAAAAGCUUGAGGAAGGUGGCUUGAGAUUCGUCUUAAGUGUUUAUAGCCUCUUGCCUAUGCAGUCGGAGAGAUUGAGGUCUGCAGCGUAGAUCCUUCGGGGCUAAAUGCAUUUGUGCUAAGUUAUAGCAUUUUAUAGACAACUUGUUGACUAUGAUUUGUCUUGUAGCUUACUCGCUUAUGUUAUUUUACCUACACUUAGGAUGUUGAAGAUGUAGCACAUCAU
Molecule: ribosomal RNA, 857 nt
Filed under: uncultured Neocallimastigales
Lineage: Eukaryota; Fungi; Neocallimastigomycota; Neocallimastigomycetes; Neocallimastigales
Description: partial large subunit ribosomal RNA
Rfam family: Eukaryotic large subunit ribosomal RNA
Source: RNAcentral